UCCCUGGUGGCUCAGAGGUUAAAGCGUCUGCCUCCAAUGUGGGAGGCCUGGGUUCGAUCCCUGGGUUGGGAA
RNAcentral lists this transfer RNA (72 nucleotides) under Bos taurus (domestic cattle). It matches the Rfam family "tRNA". From Rfam's summary of the family: Transfer RNA (tRNA) molecules are approximately 80 nucleotides in length. Their secondary structure includes four short double-helical elements and three loops (D, anti-codon, and T loops). Further hydrogen bonds mediate the characteristic L-shaped molecular structure. tRNAs have two regions of fundamental functional importance: the anti-codon, which is responsible for specific mRNA codon recognition, and the 3' end, to which the tRNAs corresponding amino acid is attached (by aminoacyl-tRNA synthetases). tRNAs cope with the degeneracy of the genetic code in two manners: having more than one tRNA (with a specific anti-codon) for a particular amino acid; and 'wobble' base-pairing, i.e. permitting non-standard base-pairing at the 3rd anti-codon position. The record is from Rfam by way of RNAcentral. RNAcentral also lists the same sequence under 5 other names. Lineage: Eukaryota; Metazoa; Chordata; Mammalia; Artiodactyla; Bovidae.